RNAcentral lists this long non-coding RNA (584 nucleotides) under Physcomitrium patens. RNAcentral's name for it is "long non-coding RNA (PPAT_LNC012647)". The record is from RNAcentral. Lineage: Eukaryota; Viridiplantae; Streptophyta; Bryopsida; Funariales; Funariaceae.
UCUCAUUGUGUUCAAGAUUCAAUAUACCAAAGCAAUUGAACUAAUAGAGGUGGGUUUGAAUAUGGAGAAAGACUGGUUAUAUGAAUUGGGUAUGUUAGUGUCACAAUUGACUAUACUCUGGCUAUCUGAAAUCAAUUAUCAACUACAAAACACCAAGGCUUAUUACUUCCGUCUUAAUUCAACCCAUAAUUUAUUCUACCACUAUCAAUUCAACGAUACUUCUAUAUUCUUAUCCGUUCAUCUUCCACUUACUCUUUUUGUGGUUUAUAUAUUCAAUUACUGAUCUCCUACUUACCUAUUGUAUUCAUUUUCUCAAUUCAUCACACAGAAUUCAAUAUCUCGGCUUACGACUCUCACAGUCUAGCACUCUAGACUAACUUCUCACUAUUCAGAAACUAUCCAUUACUCGUCAACAACAAAGCAACAAAAAGAGGUAGCACGUAGCUUGCCCUAGCUUACGACUAUCACAGUCUAGCUCUCGACUUACGACUCUCACAGUUUGGCUCUCGGCUUAUGACUCUAUUAGUCUGGCUUUCAUCUCUCUUUCCUCAACCUCUUUAUCCUACCAAAAAGAUGAUCCGUCA